UCAGUUCGGAUUGUAGUCUGNAACCCGACUACAUGAAGCUGGAAUCGCUAGUAAUCGCAGAUCAGAAUGCUGCGGUGAAUACGUUCCCGGGUCUUGUACACACCGCCCGUCAAGCCAUGGGAGCCGGGGGCGCCUGAAGUCCGGGACCGCGAGGACCGGCCUAAGGCGAAACUGGUGACGUGGGGCUAAGUCGUAACAAGGUACC
RNAcentral lists this ribosomal RNA (205 nucleotides) under uncultured bacterium. RNAcentral's name for it is "partial 16S ribosomal RNA". It matches the Rfam family "Bacterial small subunit ribosomal RNA", at positions 1288 to 1500 of the family's 1533-position model. The record is from RNAcentral.